Molecule: long non-coding RNA, 4323 nt
Organism: Thunnus maccoyii (southern bluefin tuna)
Lineage: Eukaryota; Metazoa; Chordata; Actinopteri; Scombriformes; Scombridae
Exons: 3
Source: RefSeq, a predicted model, not a curated record
UACUGAAGUUGUUGUAAUAACACGAAAUUACAAGUUAACAUCAUCCAAACUACAAAAUAUGUUUUAACUUAAUCUGUGUCCAACUAAAUCAGUAAUGCAUGUAAUGCUUGACCGUGGAGGCAGUUUGGUGGGUGCGGGGAUUAAAAUCGCCUAUGUUAUCAUGUUUCUGUGACUGUUGGCGGUCAGCGACAUGCUUCUAUCCUUGGACAUUUAGCUGUCGUCGUUGCCUCAUCCCGUUUUCAAGGUGAGUAAUCGUGUAAGCGUGUCAAGUAAGUGUGAACACGUUUUUCUGGACUAUAGCGUUCGCCAGAACAUAGUUUUGGCUUUAGCUAAAGUAACGUUAGCCAGAGAGCCCCUGCUUUGUUUUCCAUGCCCAAACAUUAGCCAAUGAGCUAACAUAUCCCUCUGUGAUAACUUUGUGGACUUCAUGUCACUCAGACCAGCAAAAAGUAUAUUAAGAGUUAUAAUAUCCCGUUAGCAUUAGGUGACUUACACACCUAACCUUGGUUGCUGUGAAGCUAACCUAGCUAAUAAACAUUUGCUGCUUGAGCUAAAGCUAGUGUUAGCUAGUUACCUUCUAAUUGGUUGAGUAGCCACGUAGUGUCAGUCAGUGGUAAGUUUAUGAGCUGUUUGAUUGUGGUGGACAUAUUCAGUUCAGUCCAGAUAAAUUGACCCAGUGUGGUGAGCAACUUUACAGCGUGGCUGCUAUCCUGGUUGUUGACUGUUUUUUUACCCCACAUUCACCUCAGCUCAUCAUUUCAAGGUACUGCUGCCAUCUGCUAUAAAGCAUGUGAACAUAUUGAGGUGUGAGAGUCUCCUUACAAUGAUAGUUAAAUUAGUUUUCAUUGGUCUGCCAGCAUUAGGUAAACACCUGAACUCUGUUACUAACAAGCUAACGUUAGCUAGUUCCCCCACAUGCUCUUUUGUUCUCUCCUUAUCUUUUCAUAGGCACAUAAGAAAUGUGCUUGUUACAUAAAUUGUUUUUCUUGCCUUAUCUUUGCUUAAUUAAUUGCACAUACUCAUUGCUUCUCAUUUAAGUAGUUAUGUAGGUGUAAUUUUAGUUGGUGAGCUGGACGCCUACAGUUUAUUCCAGUUAAUUUACUGGUGUAUAAGCAUUUUUAUGGCAUGUCUCUCAUUUGCCCCCGGCCACUGCUUACUGCUGCUACCCGCUUUAGAGCUUGUGAACACAGUGAGGUGUGAGGAGGAGGUGAUAGUGGACAUGGGGGCGGUGACGCGAUACGGUCAUCUUCACUACAUGCACGCCAAGAAACAGCAGCGUGGGAAAAGUAAAUCCUCCUAAGUGCUUUAUCACUGUAAUGGUUAUGUGGAAUUAAAUGUCUCCUAGACAGAUUUCUGAAAUACAGCACCAUUCUGACUUCUUGCAGUCAAUAUCAUGAACUUUAAAUUAGAUGUGAUGGUUACCAUAAUAAAUCAUUGUAAUUAUGCUGUACAGAUACUGAUGCUGGCAUGGGGAUACUGCAGCAGCCUCUGGAGUAUUCCCACUGAUAUGAUAACUUAGCUAACUGCAUGCCCCUGCUGUAAUCAAAAUAACAUCUUAUUGAAAUACAUUACUGAUAUUCAAGAGAGAAACUAUGUGCAGUGAAAGCAAUAUAAUUACAACUGAUAUUUUCCUUCUUGUUUCAGGUCUGUGUAGCAAAAAUAGCUUUUAUUUUUUGAAUGGAGUGAACUGGGAAGUUACCUUUUUGUCUAUUUCUCACAUUGCUUAAUUCACUUUUAUUACAAUUGUGCUGUAGAAUAAUCAUUGAUAUACAGGCUGUAGUGCCAAGGUGAAUCUUGAGUAAUGAUAAAGAGCUCUUGAGACUCACAUGCAGGCGUUAUUGAUGAAAUGUUCAGAUAUGCCACCAACAAGUUAUGUCAAUGAACCAGUGGUUCCCAACCUAGGGGUAGCGACCCCAUGGGGUUGUGGGGAGGGUGCUAAAAUAGGUUUUUAAGACAUUACAACAGUAGCCACAGACAUUACUGUCCACUACCCUGCAUAUACACAGACUGUGCACAAUAUUUCAGAUCUAAAAAAAUCCCUGCAGGUCCAUUUGUGAGAUCAAGGGGUCAUAGAAGCUGGUUCAACCGGACUUGUUGGCUUUAAAUUAAAAUGCCCAUUAUGCGACUUUAAUGAGGCAGUUGGCCUAAAGCAAUGUAUUACUCAUCUUGGUAAAUAUCUGAGGAAUAGGGAAACCUGUCCUUUUAAUCAGUGUCCUUGCAAAUCAAACAUGUUCUCUAGUUUUAUGUCACAUAAAUGCAAUUGUCACCCACAUUCUACUUUAAAAGUCUUGAAGACAGAGCUUAUUGUACAAGAAAGUGAAACUGAGGACUUGACAGAAUGUGAAAUAGCCGUUCAACUGCAAUCAGAUGUUACUGACAGUGAUAUCCGUGAGCCACUGGAGGAUCAGUCUGACAAUGAAACAGAGCACUAUGACACCACUGAAAACAUUCAGGGAAAUGCUUGUAUCUUUACCUCUAGGAAAGCAAGAAGUUUUGCAUGUUUCCAAAUUAUCCACUCAGGAAAUAGUCGAUGAAUUUUAAGAAAUUGGUUGUUUUGAUUGGUGACUGGUUCAACUGAACUACUGGAGCAACAACUAGAGAUUGUUUUAUUCCAAGAAGACAAAGUAGUUUUGGCCACUCUGCUUUUUCUGUCAAAGCAUCUCAAGAUUGGAACAACUUACUACGACACAUAAGAAACCGCGCCAAUUACCAUUCAUUCACCACAAUGUUAAGAGUCUGGUUCAUUAGAAAUCAAACUUGUGAACACUAAAACAGUGAUGUGCUUUUCGUGUUGUCUUACUUGUCAUUAUUAUGUUUAGUGGAAGAGCUGCUCUUGUUUAUCACAGGCUUUGUAUGUAAUAUCCACACUUUACCAGCCCUGACAUUGUGUGGUUGUGCUAUGUGUUGAUUGUUGUCAUGCUAUUGUUGAUUUUGUGUGUCUUAAGAGCUGUCUUUCUUGUCUCUAUGCAGCGCAGGCUUGUUUGUAUCGGCAUAUUCUCACCGCUUUUUAUUGUUGAUUGUAUCUUCAACACUUUUAUUUGUAAUAUUUGUGCUUCCAACUUUUGCCUGCCCAGGAACAACAGAUGAAAAUUAGACUUUUUCGGCUAACUCUGGCAUAUUUUCAGAAAUGUAAUAAAAGUAAUAAAAUAAAUACAAAUAAACAAGUAUACAGUAAAAAAAAAAAGGUACUCUGGAAGCACUGUUGUAACACUGAUGAAAACUCAAUAACAUUAGUAACAGACUCCUCACACAGCCUCAGUUCACUUUAGUCCAUUUCAGAGAGCGGGUGUCUGGGAUCAGAACAAAGAGAAAUUUGGUGUCAUGGACCCAACUGAAUAUGUUUUAGAUUUGUCAUCAAAGAAAAACAUUUGUUUAUGUCCCAGUUCUAAAACUCUGCAAGUAGUGUUAAAUAAGGGUGAUAUUAUUGACAAAGUUUUAGAAGAAGCAAGCACAGGAUCGAAACCUGGCCAUUACUAGACCUUGUUUGACAGAUCAUAUUUCAAGGAGAACCCACUUCUGUCAGGGGAAGAUCAAUGUAUUUCUUUUACUCUCUAUGUUGAUGAUUUUGAGGUCUGUAACCCUUUAGAAACCUCAAGACAUACAUAAAAAUAAUGUUUCUUAUAAAUAAAUAUAUGAGCAAAAUCAUUUUACUUUUUUCCCCCCUUAAAGUUAAUGGUGGUAAAAGAAGUGUAUGAGAUGGAUUCAUAGGUUUAGUGUUGUGCAACUGCACCUAAUUCAGUUUAUGUUGUGUUUGCAUCACCUGGACUGGAUCACCUGGCCACACCUCCCUUGCAGACACCCGUUAAACUCAAACAAAGAAGUAAAAGAAGACUGAAGCGGACUUUGCUCGCCUUACAUCUGCUGACCUGACAGGUUCCCUCUUCGCUGUGCUCGACCAAUACCUGGCGAGGUUCCCUGAGCUGCACGAAGCCAAGAGCGGCACGUGAGGCCGACCGGAGUCAAAAGACGGCGUGAUGGUGACUGUUCCACAAACAGGAAGAUGACACCUCUUCUGUUGGGCCUUCUUCAUCUUCUCAAAGAAGAUCCCUCAUGUUUCUUCAAGACUGUGGUGUAGUGAUGUGCGGGUCAGGGGGUUUUUAAUACCCACCCGACCUGUUUCUAAGGGCCCUUUGCAUUUUUUUAAUCUUUGAUGUCCUGUCAUUAAUCAUUAAUUUAAUAAAAUCUAUCCCUGUCUUGUCCAUAUUUCAAUACAUUCCAACAAUCUGGACAUCCUUGAAAGAAAUCAUUUAGACACCUUCAGAUUGAAGCUAUUGGAACAACCUUGGGUCAAUCAGCAGAAAUUGAAAAAUUGACCUCAUGUGC